AAAGAUAUGCUUGCACUGCUACUAGUAUGGAUGCCAUUCACAUGCAUAUGAUGCAUUGCUUCAAGCUAUGGUCAAGUUAUGUUAAUGUUUACCUACAAUAAGUUGUUGAAUGUUUGGGGACAACUCUGGUUGAACCAUGUGUUUGUCUGAAUUACAUAUAUGUUAUGCAUUUAUGCAUGUGUGUGAGCUCACAAGCCUAUUUAUUUG
This 207-nucleotide long non-coding RNA is filed under the name Hordeum vulgare. Its description in RNAcentral is "long non-coding RNA (HVUL_LNC021727)". The record is from RNAcentral. Lineage: Eukaryota; Viridiplantae; Streptophyta; Magnoliopsida; Poales; Poaceae.